RNAcentral lists this transfer RNA (72 nucleotides) under Camelus bactrianus (Bactrian camel). It matches the Rfam family "tRNA". From Rfam's summary of the family: Transfer RNA (tRNA) molecules are approximately 80 nucleotides in length. Their secondary structure includes four short double-helical elements and three loops (D, anti-codon, and T loops). RNAcentral also lists the same sequence under 3 other names. Lineage: Eukaryota; Metazoa; Chordata; Mammalia; Artiodactyla; Camelidae. The record is from Rfam by way of RNAcentral.
GAGGGUAUAGCUCAGUGGUAGAGUGUGUGCUUAGCAUGCACGAGGUCUUGGCUUCAAUCUCCAGUACCUCCA